Molecule: ribosomal RNA, 460 nt
Filed under: uncultured bacterium
Lineage: Bacteria
Description: partial 16S ribosomal RNA
Rfam family: Bacterial small subunit ribosomal RNA
Source: RNAcentral
CCUACGGGAGGCAGCAGUGAGGAAUAUUGGUCAAUGGGCGAGAGCCUGAACCAGCCAAGUCGCGUGAGGGAAGACGGUCCUACGGAUUGUAAACCUCUUUUGUCAGGGAGCAAGGAGCGCCACGAGUGGUGCGGCGAGAGUACCUGAAGAAAAAGCAUCGGCUAACUCCGUGCCAGCAGCCGCGGUAAUACGUAGGGGGCAAGCGUUAUCCGGAAUUACUGGGUGUAAAGGGAGAGUAGGCGGCAAGGUAAGCGAUAUGUGAAAGCCUUAAGCUUAACUUAAGGAUGGCAUAACGAACUAUCUAGCUAGAGUACAGGAGAGGAAAGCGGAAUUCCUAGUGUAGCGGUGAAAUGCGUAGAUAUUAGGAAGAACACCAGUGGCGAAGGCGGCUUUCUGGACUGAAACUGACGCUGAGGCUCGAAAGCGUGGGGAGCGAACAGGAUUAGAUACCCCGGUAGUC